This is a long non-coding RNA of Daphnia pulex (common water flea), 1197 nucleotides long. RefSeq lists it as uncharacterized. The transcript is spliced from 4 exons. NCBI's taxonomy places the organism in Eukaryota, Metazoa, Arthropoda, Branchiopoda, Diplostraca, Daphniidae. The record is from RefSeq and is a predicted model, not a curated record.
UAUGGAUUCGACGAGUCGAGAUAAAAGGCCGACGUGGCGUGACUGUUGGUACGCAGAUCCCAUUUAAUCUUCCAUGGCACAACUUGUCUCUUCCAACUCUAUUGAAAAUGAAGUCUGUAAUUUUGAGCCGGUCAGUGUUGAGCUUGUUGGUCGUCGUUUCAGAGGCGUGGUUCCUCAAUCUCAAGUCCGGCAAAUCUGACACAGCAGAAAAAGUGAGGUCAGCACCGAAUUCACGUAAAGUGAUUCUGGUAGCCAAGAAGGUCUACGUUCCGAUGUACGCGUCUGAUGACACGGCCUCAGCAGUUGCCGACCGAUUUCUGCCCUUCUCUCCCGCACUUACACCUUCUGAUGGAAUUGUGACGGAUGGACGUCACGAUUCAUACGAUUGGACGACGAUUCAGCAACAUUCACCGCUUUCAGAAAGAGGCAACGAGAGCCGUUUACGUCGCGCUUCAGCCUCUCCGUCAUCGUCCGUCUCAUCAGGAGAUGAAAAAAACAGGUGUAAUGAUCGAGGGCUCGCUUGGGCUUGGGCUUGGGCGGAAAUUGACGUCUGAACUGUGGCAGUUUUCAACAGUUGCGGAGUGUCCAAUGGUUGGUACUACAAUUCGGUAAAAUUAGUUGAUAUGCUGGAAGUGUCUCUUCUCCCGUCUCUUCCAACUCAUAUUGAAAAUGAAGUCUGUAAUUGUGAGCCUGUCAUUGUCAGCUCCUGUUCAGGUCCCUGCUGUUGUUGUUGACCAGGGUGUUGCUUCCCAACAAUAUGCAGUUUAUCCCGCUGGAUACGGAGCUGCUGGCCAGCAGUACGUCCAAUACGCCGGUGCUCCGUAGUUUUUGGGGGGCCCAAGCCCAACCCAAGCGAGCCCUCCAUCAUUGAACCUUUUUUUUUUAUCUCCUGAUGAGACGGCCGGAUGGCGGAGAGACUUGGAUGAUGCAGUACGCCGGAGCUGGAGAUGUUGUUGCUGCAGGACGCAGGAGUGUCAUACUCGCCAACAGGAAACGACCGAGAGACGGUUGCCGAUCGAUCUGCAGUUUCGGUUCCAACUGAAGCGUAUGCAAAUGUUUUUUUUACUGCAGUGAUCGCGUGCAGUUUUUACUUUUUAAUUUUACAUUAUUUAAUUCGCAUGAAUGAUUGACCUUACUAUAUUUACUUGACAUAAUCAUUUUGCUAAACAUAUAUAAUACAUUUGUGCUUUUAACAAA